AGUGAACGCUGGCGGUAGGCCUAACACAUGCAAGUCGAACGGCAGCACAGUAAGAGCUUGCUCUUACGGGUGGCGAGUGGCGGACGGGUGAGGAAUACAUCGGCAUCUACUUUUUCGUGGGGGAUAACGUAGGGAAACUUACGCUAAUACCGCAUACGACCUACGGGUGAAAGCAUGGGAUCUUCGGACCUUGCGCGAUUGAAUGAGCCGAUGUCGGAUUAGCUAGUUGGCGGGGUAAAGGCCCACCAAGGCGACGAUCCGUAGCUGGUCUGAGAGGAUGAUCAGCCACACUGGAACUGAGACACGGUCCAGACUCCUACGGGAGGCAGCAGUGGGGAAUAUUGGACAAUGGGCGCAAGCCUGAUCCAGCCAUACCGCGUGGGUGAAGAAGGCCUUCGGGUUGUAAAGCCCUUUUGUUGGGAAAGAAAAGCAGCAGGUUAAUACCACGCUGUUCUGACGGUACCCAAAGAAUAAGCACCGGCUAACUUCGUG
This 492-nucleotide ribosomal RNA is filed under the name uncultured bacterium. RNAcentral describes it as "partial 16S ribosomal RNA". It matches the Rfam family "Bacterial small subunit ribosomal RNA", at positions 29 to 507 of the family's 1533-position model. The record is from RNAcentral.